UACGUAGGGUGCGAGCGUUGUCCGGAAUUAUUGGGCGUAAAGUGCUCGUAGGCGGUUUGUCGCGUCGGGAGUGUAAACAUCUGGCUUAACUGGGUGCUUGCUUUCGAUACGGGCAGACUUGAGGCAUGCAGGGGAGAAUGGAAUUCCUGGUGUAGCGGUGAAAUGCGCAGAUAUCAGGAGGAACACCGGUGGCGAAGGCGGUUCUCUGGGCAUGUCCUGACGCUGAGGAGCGAAAGUGUGGGGAGCGAACAGG
This 253-nucleotide ribosomal RNA is filed under the name uncultured bacterium. RNAcentral describes it as "partial 16S ribosomal RNA". It matches the Rfam family "Bacterial small subunit ribosomal RNA", at positions 524 to 776 of the family's 1533-position model. The record is from RNAcentral.